UACGUAGGGCGCAAGCGUUGUCCGGAAUUAUUGGGCGUAAAGAGCUCGUAGGCGGCUUGUUGCGUCGGAUGUGAAAGCCCGGGGCUUAACCCCGGGUCUGCAUUCGAUACGGGCAGGCUAGAGUGUGGUAGGGGAGAUCGGAAUUCCUGGUGUAGCGGUGAAAUGCGCAGAUAUCAGGAAGAACACCCGUGGCGAAGGCGGCUCUCUGGGACGGUACUGACGCUGAGACGCGAAAGCGUGGGGAGCGAACAGG
RNAcentral lists this ribosomal RNA (253 nucleotides) under uncultured bacterium. RNAcentral's name for it is "partial 16S ribosomal RNA". It matches the Rfam family "Bacterial small subunit ribosomal RNA", at positions 524 to 776 of the family's 1533-position model. The record is from RNAcentral.